CAACUCAUAACCUGUUUCACCACUAAUAACAUGUGUUUUUCCUCUCCAAGUUAGCACUCUAUUAUUGUAUCACUGAUUUUUUUUUUCAUUAUGUUCUCUUAUUUGUGUGCGAGUGCAAGAGAGAGCUAUUACGCACUUCUUCUCCUUCAUUACUCGAACCUAAGCACACUCUCAACUCAGGCACUUCAUCUUCUCCACCUCCAUUGAAGCCCGUCUGCGCUGACGUCCAUCUUCUUCUUCGAUUCUCAUAUCUACAACGACAAUCUCACACGAAGGGAUGGGACACCGCUAUUGAACCUUCUCUUCGACGACCACCAAUUUCAGCGGCGGCGAAGGCUGACAUGUGAAAAAUAACAGCAAGAAUUUUAGAUUUGUGGAAUUGCGACACAAAUUGGAUUGUGCUUGAAACUAUUCGAGGGUUCGAGGGUGUGGUUUUGAUCAACUAAAAUUCUAGAAGGAUUGAAGGUGAUUGGUGAUGGUGAGGAUCUAAUAAGGGAGAGCAUCAAGUAUGUUAGGGGAUCAGAGAGUAGAAUGAUAAAAUUUCAACAAUGCAUUGAGCAAGUUCGGGACAUUGAUUCAAAAAGUCCUUUUUGUUUAGAUGUUUCAAUAAGAUGGAAUUCAACGUUCUUGAUGCUUUAAAGUGCCCUUCAAUAACAACGAGUGUUUGGAAGUCCACAUUUUGAUGAAAUUAAAAAGCACAGACUUCAAGUUGUUGUAAAAAUGGGAAGGAAUCAAGUAGACGUAUAUUUGGAUUAGCCAAUAUUAGAUCUCGACUUCACAAACCCUAUGGAUGUUCUUGCAUGGUGGAGGACUCAUAAUGAACGUUUUACAGAUUUGGCAUUGAUGGCAAGGGAUUUGCUAAGUAUCGCAAUCACUACAAUUGCAUCUGAAUCUUCAUUCAACAUUGGAUCAAGAUUUUUAAAUAUGUAUAGAAAUCGACUAUUUCUAGAAUGUGUUGAAGCACUUAUUUGUAUUCAAGUUAUAAGCAUGCCUUUUGUGAAGAUGAUGAAGUACAUGACACACACAUGGAACAUUGGAGGGAGCUUCUUCCAUGGGUGCUUCUAAUACUCUUGGCAUUGGAGAACAAGAUGACUUCUGAUUAAAUUUCUUAAUGAUGUAAUUGUGCACUGUUUAUGAUGACAACCCGUUUGAUGCAUCUCGUUUUGCUUGUAAUUGUGGUGUAGUAUUUAUGAUGUUAAAUAUCUAGUUUAUGUUGGUUGGAUUUAAAUUAAAAGGCAUAAUAGAACCUUCACUUUUUGUGGUGUUGUUGGAUUA
Vigna unguiculata (cowpea) is the source of this 1275-nucleotide long non-coding RNA. RefSeq lists it as uncharacterized. Lineage: Eukaryota; Viridiplantae; Streptophyta; Magnoliopsida; Fabales; Fabaceae. The record is from RefSeq and is a predicted model, not a curated record.